RNAcentral lists this ribosomal RNA (421 nucleotides) under uncultured Acetivibrio sp. Its description in RNAcentral is "bacterial SSU rRNA". It matches the Rfam family "Bacterial small subunit ribosomal RNA", at positions 355 to 794 of the family's 1533-position model. The record is from RNAcentral. Lineage: Bacteria; Bacillati; Bacillota; Clostridia; Acetivibrionales; Acetivibrionaceae.
UCGGGAAUAUUGCGCAAUGGAGGAAACUCUGACGCAGUGACGCCACGUAUAGGAAGAAGGUUUUCGGAUUGUAAACUAUUUUAGUCAGGGAAGAAAAUGACAGUACCUGAAGAAUAAGCUCCGGCUAACUACGUGCUAGCAGCCGCGGUAAUACGUAGGGAGCAAGCGUUAUCCGGAUUUAUUGGGCGUAAAGAGUGCGUAGGUGGUUACCUAAGCAGGGGGUGAAAGGCAUUGGCUUAACCAAUGUUAGCCCCCUGAACUGGGCUACCUGAGUGCAGGAGAGGAAAGCGGAAUUCCUAGUGUAGCGGUGAAAUACGUAGAUAUUAGGAGGAACACCAGUGGCGAAGGCGGCUUUCUGGACUGUUACUGACACUGAGGCACGAAAGUGUGGGGAGCAAACAGGAUUAGAUACCCUGGUAGU